CAGUCGUACCUGCGGGUAAUCAGCCUUUUGGGCAUGAUUCUGUGGAGCGUGAGGAGUUAAACGCGUUCAUGCCUGCAUAUUCGUGUACUUUGGGUGUACUUGCGGGUGUGGUUAGUUAACAUCAAUUUCGGUUAUCAUAAAAUGGUUGGAGGAAUGUAGCUUCGAUUUCGAUUGAAGUGUUAUAGCUUUUGGCAGAUGUGAUGAUCGGGAUUGAGGAUUGCAACGGAUACCCUUCGGGGAUACCUGUAUGGUCUACGAUCGAGGUUUUGGUGCCGGGAGCGUGCUUACGGUUAUCAAAGUCGAUGGUCACAAGGUUAGAAGGGGUUAAC
This 329-nucleotide ribosomal RNA is filed under the name uncultured Glomeromycotina. RNAcentral's name for it is "eukaryotic LSU rRNA". The record is from RNAcentral. Lineage: Eukaryota; Fungi; Glomeromycota.